RNAcentral lists this ribosomal RNA (301 nucleotides) under uncultured bacterium. RNAcentral's name for it is "partial 16S ribosomal RNA". It matches the Rfam family "Bacterial small subunit ribosomal RNA", at positions 509 to 807 of the family's 1533-position model. The record is from RNAcentral.
CAGUCGCCACGGUAAUACGAAGGGGGCUAGCGUUGUUCGGAUUUACUGGGCGUAAAGCGCACGUAGGCGGACUUUUAAGUCAGGGGUGAAAUCCCGGGGCUCAACCCCGGAACUGCCUUUGAUACUGGAAGUCUUGAGUAUGGUAGAGGUGAGUGGAAUUCCGAGUGUAGAGGUGAAAUUCGUAGAUAUUCGGAGGAACACCAGUGGCGAAGGCGGCUCACUGGACCAUUACUGACGCUGAGGUGCGAAAGCGUGGGGAGCAAACAGGAUUAGAUACCCGGGUAGUCCCUGUCUCUUAUAC